RNAcentral lists this ribosomal RNA (332 nucleotides) under uncultured Glomeromycotina. RNAcentral's name for it is "eukaryotic LSU rRNA". The record is from RNAcentral. Lineage: Eukaryota; Fungi; Glomeromycota.
CAGUCAUACCAACGGGAAAUCAACCUUUUGAGCUCGGUCUCGUGGGUUUUGAAGAGUUUCAAAGCCUUCGGAUUCGCGGGAUUGGGAUCUCUUGGUGUACUUUUUCGUACGGUUAGUCAACAUCGGUUUUGAAUGUCAUAAAAUGUCUGGAGGAAUGUAGCUUCGAUCUCGUAUUGAAGUGUUAUAGCCUUUGGUAGAUGUGAUGUUUGAGACCGAGGAUUGCAACGGAUACCCUUUAGGGCUAUUCGUCUGAUCUCUGAUACGUUGCCUUGAUGUUGAAAGCUUGCUUAUGAUGUUAGGGUAUUACGGUCAAAAGGUUAGAACGGAUUAGA